GCUUGAGCUUGGGCUUGGGCUUGGGCUUGGGCUGUGUGUGCGUCUGAAGUUGAAUGAGGUGGAGGUCGGCCCAGGAAGCAUUGGAGGCUCAUCAGUGGGCAGAUGGGUCCAGGACUUGCUCCUGCCUUGGCUUCACGGGCAGAUGACCUCAUGACACUGUGCAAGGCUGUGGAGGUCUUGGGCGGCCUGUCAGUUGGCCACUGAGCGUGGAGGGGGCUCUGAUUAAGGAGCAUGGUUUUGCUGGGAAACACCUCAGGAUCUUGGGCCAUCCAGGUCUGUCCAGGGGGCUGUGGCUGGCCUUGUCCAUGGGCCAUGCAUCCUGCAGCGUGGGUAGCUUAGCUUGUUCUUGCACCCAGGGUUCCUGCUGGAAAGUCAUCUGCUAAAUGAGGGUCCAUGAUUUACCUGCAAGUCCAGUGUCUCGCCUAGGAACCCAGCGGUUCUCAUUCUGGUGGAAACAGGCUUGGGACAGAAGUGGGAAUGGUAGAGCCGGAGAUCUGGCUCUGUUCUGGUGGUGGAGACGUCAAGCUGAGCCCCCUAAUCCCUGACUGCACCACUUUCCCCCCAUCAAUGGUAAUCGGAUGCUGAGCACAUUUUAAUUUUGCUAUUUCUUUGGUUUCUUCCCCUUCCCCACCCCUCCUUCUUGUAGGACUAGGAGUAAAUGUUAGGAUAAACCUUCUUAUGUUACAAAUUUUUACCUUCUUUUUCCCCUGGGAAGACUGUGAUUGAACUGCACACAAACCCAGCUGCAGUCUGAAGCACCGGUUUCUUGGCUGACCCACGGCAAGCAUAAGUUUUUCUGCCCUUUGGGGUGGCAGAUUCUGUACUGGAAAUCCACUGGAAGAGUGAAAUCAUUAGUUGCUGUUCUUAAAAUCUGGUCCUGUCUUUCCAGGGAGGUGUGUCUUGUGGGCCCUCAUCCUUGCAGCCUAGUGCUUUGGUGGACAUCACGGUGGUAGCAGGGAGGUCUCUGGGCUGCUGUUCCCAGGGCUCUGGGGCAGCCACAUGGUAAGAGGUGCAUGUUCAGCCCCGUCUCUGAUUCCAGAAGAGACCAGGAUACUCACU
Molecule: long non-coding RNA, 1059 nt
Filed under: Marmota monax (woodchuck)
Lineage: Eukaryota; Metazoa; Chordata; Mammalia; Rodentia; Sciuridae
Source: RNAcentral